GUAAAUUUUCGUUUUGUUUAGAUUCUGUACUCUGUAGUGAUUGAUUCGUCUUCAGUUUCUGAGAAAAUGAUGGAACGUGAAAGGUAUUCUGCAAUGGAAGCUUAGGAUUUUAACUUGGUGAUGUUAAGUGAAGUAGCAAAUUUUUAGUUAUUUUCAUUGUCAAAUCUCAACAUUACAUCAAAAAAAAAAAAAUCUGCUUCUGUUGAGGUUUUGGUGUGGAUUUUGGAUUGUUGGACUUGGUUGAACAAUGAACAUGAAGCACUUAUACUAUAUGAACAUGAAGCACUUAUACUAUCCUCAAAUUGUUCUUAUUUUAUGAAAUCAUUGGAGAUGCAGAUUUC
Molecule: long non-coding RNA, 341 nt
Filed under: Arabidopsis lyrata
Lineage: Eukaryota; Viridiplantae; Streptophyta; Magnoliopsida; Brassicales; Brassicaceae
Description: long non-coding RNA (ALYR_LNC000786)
Source: RNAcentral